GCAAUUAAUACGUUAGUGACCAUGACUGUUGUCCUGUGAGCUAUAUAAGCUAAACGUCUUGUUACAGUAGCUACAUAGUCUCUACUUCCUUAGCUGCGUGUACAGAAACAACAUAUCUGCAAUAUGAAGCUGCUUUCAAUGGUUCUGGCCUUAGUGGUGGCCCUGUCAUGCUUAGUGAACUGGAGCAGCGCCAUGCCUGAGCCUAACCCAGUGGCUGACCCUGACCCCGUUGCUGACCCUGGCUACCGCCGCUUCGGUGGAUUCGGAUAUGGUGGAUACGGAUAUGGGGGUCGCGGAUACGGGGGUUAUGGAUACGGUGGAUAUCGCGGUCGCUUUUACGGAUAAAGAUAUUUCUAACACGGGACUCCGUUAAGAAUGAGACUAUGAAACGAAUAAAAAUUCCUCUCCGGCAUUUCUGAAAUAAAUUCUUUAACUGAA
This 438-nucleotide long non-coding RNA is filed under the name Penaeus japonicus. RNAcentral's name for it is "uncharacterized LOC122247941". Lineage: Eukaryota; Metazoa; Arthropoda; Malacostraca; Decapoda; Penaeidae. The record is from RNAcentral.